UGCCCAGCAACUCCUAUCCCUACCUCCUCGCGGUACUGGCCGGGGUACGAGUAACCUUAGGGAAGAUCGGGUAACCGACCCCCGGUGGGAACUUUGGUCGUAUGCUGACAGGGAAGG
Aedes aegypti (yellow fever mosquito) is the source of this 117-nucleotide non-coding RNA. The record is from Rfam. Lineage: Eukaryota; Metazoa; Arthropoda; Insecta; Diptera; Culicidae.